RNAcentral lists this transfer RNA (73 nucleotides) under Camelus bactrianus (Bactrian camel). It matches the Rfam family "tRNA". Rfam says of the family: Transfer RNA (tRNA) molecules are approximately 80 nucleotides in length. Their secondary structure includes four short double-helical elements and three loops (D, anti-codon, and T loops). The record is from Rfam by way of RNAcentral. RNAcentral also lists the same sequence under 2 other names. Lineage: Eukaryota; Metazoa; Chordata; Mammalia; Artiodactyla; Camelidae.
GAGGGUAUAGCUCAAGUGGUAGAGUGUCUGCUUAGCAUGCACAAGGUCCUGGGUUCAAUCCCCAGUACUGCUA